Molecule: ribosomal RNA, 344 nt
Filed under: uncultured prokaryote
Description: partial 16S ribosomal RNA
Source: RNAcentral
CCCUAUGGGGUGCCCCAGGCUUUGUAGAUAUCUAUCUUCGGUGAUUUCUUCUGUUUCUGCAUGCAGCGUUACAGGGCUUUCAAGUAAUAGCACACAGGCCAUUUUUGUCAAGCCCCAACAGCAAAAAGGCAAGAAGGCCCUUUUCACCACCCGUCCCGCUCCGGCGGGACUUAAGGCACGGAGGACACAGAGAGAAGCGCGGGUGUCCGUGCCCGACCGAAGGUCGGCGACGGCAUCCUGAUGUGGGCAUCUCCCCCAUAUUAGGCAGGAACCAUAUUCUUGCUUUCAGGUAGGUAGGCGGACGCUCUGUGCUUAGAGCGACCGAAGGGAAUUGGCGGGAGGGC